ACAUGGCUCAGAACGAACGCUGGCGGCAUGCCUAACACAUGCAAGUCGAACGAGACCUUCGGGUCUAGUGGCGCACGGGUGCGUAACGCGUGGGAAUCUGCCUCUUGGUUCGGAAUAACAGUUAGAAAUGACUGCUAAUACCGGAUGAUGACUUCGGUCCAAAGAUUUAUCGCCAAGAGAUGAGCCCGCGUAGGAUUAGCUAGUUGGUGGGGUAAAGGCCUACCAAGGCGACGAUCCUUAGCUGGUCUGAGAGGAUGAUCAGCCACACUGGGACUGAGACACGGCCCAGACUCCUACGGGAGGCAGCAGUGGGGAAUAUUGGACAAUGGGCGAAAGCCUGAUCCAGCAAUGCCGCGUGAGUGAUGAAGGCCUUAGGGUCGUAAAGCUCUUUUACCAGGGAUGAUAAUGACAGUACCNGAGAAUAAGNCCGGCUAANCCG
RNAcentral lists this ribosomal RNA (439 nucleotides) under bacterium CV13. RNAcentral describes it as "bacterial SSU rRNA". It matches the Rfam family "Bacterial small subunit ribosomal RNA", at positions 17 to 504 of the family's 1533-position model. The record is from RNAcentral.